Molecule: non-coding RNA, 290 nt
Organism: Pelobates cultripes (western spadefoot toad)
Lineage: Eukaryota; Metazoa; Chordata; Amphibia; Anura; Pelobatidae
Source: the annotation of a GenBank genome assembly
CUUCUGCCCAGCAGCCAGCCCAGCUGUGUGUGUGUCUGUCAGUGAAUGUGUGUGUGUGUAUAAAUCUUAUAGUGUCUGUUACUGAAUGUUUGUGUGACUGUGGUUGUCUGUCGUUAUGUGUCUGUGAGUGAGUGUGUAUAUCUGUCAGUGUAAGUGUGUCAGUGAAUGUGUGUCUGUCUGUCAGCGUGUGUCUGUGAGUGAGUAUCUGUCAGUAAAUGUGGGUGGGUGUCUGUCAGUGUGUGUCUGUGAGUAAGUGAUUGUGUGUAUGUCUGUCAGCGUGGAUCUGUGAG